AAGCAGAGCGUGCAUGGUUUGGAAAAUGUGAUGAUGUGACUUUACGAUAUCAGUGACAUGAAUAUCGAUAUCCCCC
RNAcentral lists this transfer RNA (76 nucleotides) under Bacillus subtilis subsp. subtilis str. BSP1. RNAcentral describes it as "tRNA-Thr". The record is from RNAcentral. Lineage: Bacteria; Bacillati; Bacillota; Bacilli; Caryophanales; Bacillaceae.